AAGGUUCGUCUGCUCUUCGUUUAGUUUUGAGAUCACGAAACUUGUACCCACAAAGUUUGAGUGAGAUUAUAAAGAGAACGAUCACUCUUUUUAAACAUACGUGGCUGCACGAAAUAGUAAUGAAAAAAAUGAAAAAAAUCAAGAACAAAUUAAAUUACGAAAAUGUGAUCGUUGUGUGAAUGAACUGGUGUGAUGUGUCUGGUGUCGUGGCUCUCCACGCUCUACGCCCAAUACUUUUUGGCGGUUCCUGUCUAGCACCUGCAAGUCCCCUGUCAAAUCAAUGCAUGGCAGUUUGCACUAUGUAACCUUUUUCUUUUGGAGGCCAGAGCCAGCCAUCGUAACAACAAGAUAUGCAAGUUCUGCUUGUGCUUUUCUGCCAUCAGUCUAUCUGUUGUCUCCCCUGUCACUCACCAUUUCAUAUUUCAUCAUCGCUUUGGAUAAAGAGCAUCCCAUUGCACUGGCGAAACUACCGAGGAUGUCGAGCGAGUUAUGGAUCUCUUCUUCCCCCUUUUCUUUAAAUGUCUUCGUGUACGCCCAUGUGAAUGUGGGUGUAUUCACGAGGACACCCUUUGUCCCUAUCCCGUCUGGUGUAUAAGUCAACUCUUCAGCGGAUGGAUGGAG
Daphnia pulex (common water flea) is the source of this 621-nucleotide long non-coding RNA. RefSeq lists it as uncharacterized. The transcript is spliced from 3 exons. Lineage: Eukaryota; Metazoa; Arthropoda; Branchiopoda; Diplostraca; Daphniidae. The record is from RefSeq and is a predicted model, not a curated record.